RNAcentral lists this ribosomal RNA (399 nucleotides) under uncultured bacterium. RNAcentral's name for it is "bacterial SSU rRNA". It matches the Rfam family "Bacterial small subunit ribosomal RNA", at positions 64 to 457 of the family's 1533-position model. The record is from RNAcentral.
GAGGGGUAACGGAAGUAGCUUGCUACUAGACGACGACCGGCGCACGGGUGAGUAACGCGUAUGUAAUCUGCCUUGUACAGAGGGAUAGCCCAGAGAAAUUUGGAUUAAUACCUCAUAGUAUUACCGAAUCGCAUGAUUUGGUAAUUAAAGCUCAGGCGGUACAAGAUGAACAUGCGUGACAUUAGCUAGUUGGUAAGGUAACGGCUUACCAAGGCCACGAUGUCUAGGGGUUCUGAGAGGAUGAUCCCCCACACUGGUACUGAGACACGGACCAGACUCCUACGGGAGGCAGCAGUGAGGAAUAUUGGUCAAUGGACGCAAGUCUGAACCAGCCAUCCCGCGUGAAGGAUGACUGCCCUAUGGGUUGUAAACUUCUUUUAUAUGCAAAUAAACCUACUU